Molecule: unclassified non-coding RNA, 340 nt
Filed under: Hevea brasiliensis (rubber tree)
Lineage: Eukaryota; Viridiplantae; Streptophyta; Magnoliopsida; Malpighiales; Euphorbiaceae
Source: RNAcentral
CAACCGGCGAAUGGCGAAGAAGAGGAAGGCAGCGCCGGAGCCCGAGAAGAAGGAACCGGAGGCUGCGCCGCCCCGGCCGAAGCGCACGCUCCUAGGGUGGAAGGAUGCGGUGCCUGAGAAGCAGAUCGAGUCGCCGUUCUUCAGGAACAAGGAGAAGGUGCUCGUCACUUGCUCUCGCCGAAUCACGUACAGGUAUCGGCAUCUGAUGCUCAAUGUAGUCUCGCUGCUGCCGCACUCGAAGAAGGACAGCAAGAUCGAGUCGAAGGAGAGCAAGGGGUCGACCUUGAACGAGCUGAUUGAGCUGAGGAACUGUUCGUCUUGUCUGUUCUUUGAAUGCAGG